This 613-nucleotide long non-coding RNA is filed under the name Vigna radiata. RNAcentral describes it as "long non-coding RNA (VRAD_LNC006439)". Lineage: Eukaryota; Viridiplantae; Streptophyta; Magnoliopsida; Fabales; Fabaceae. The record is from RNAcentral.
AGACUGCCAUGUGACAGCCUCUUCCCCACCCAAAAAAUAAGGAUUUUUUUGGGGGAAAGGCUUCCUUACGCCUACGCCACGAGAGGAAAACUGAAUGGGUUUCAAAAUGCAAGAGCGUCGCGAUGCGAAUCUAGCUCGUGGUUGCUUGUCUGUGAUUUGGUUUCUUUGGUUUCUUUCUAGUUGCAGGUUCGAAGAGCAGCUUCGCGAUGGCUGGAGAAGAUGAAGAUUGAUGGAGAAUGGUGCUUUUGCGGUGGUGAUUCUACUUCAAUUGACUUGACGAAGAAGAUGAGCUUGCACAUGCUCGCUAUCUCGUUGCGGCAAUCAUGGUUGUCGCGACAAGAUGUUAAUGGCGAUUCACAGUGGAGGAAGGGGAAGAUGGUCAUGGUGGUGUUUCUGGGUGGUUGCUGGACGGAGAAGAUGAACAGUGGUGGUAGUGGUUUCAAAAUAUCUGAUGAUGGAGGUGCAAAGGUGGUGGCUGGCCGUGAGCGUGGCGACGGUGAUUAGGGUUAGAUUAGGUGGUGGCUAGGGUUUCUGUGUAAGGGGAAAUUAGAGUUUCUGAAUGUAGGAGAUGAUGAUGACGUGUCAAAGGUGAUGUCACUGAUUGUACAACUGG